AUUACUCCUACGGGAGGCAGCAGUGGGGAAUCUUGCGCAAUGGGCGAAAGCCUGACGCAGCCAUGCCGCGUGAAUGAUGAAGGUCUUAGGAUUGUAAAAUUCUUUCACCGGGGACGAUAAUGACGGUACCCGGGGAAUAAGCUCCGGCUAACUCCGUGCCAGCAGCCGCGGUAAUAAU
Molecule: ribosomal RNA, 178 nt
Filed under: uncultured bacterium
Lineage: Bacteria
Description: partial 16S ribosomal RNA
Rfam family: Bacterial small subunit ribosomal RNA
Source: RNAcentral